ACUCCUACGGGAGGCAGCAGUAGGGAAUAUUGCACAAUGGGCGCAAGCCUGAUGCAGCCAUGCCGCGUGUAUGAAGAAGGCCUUCGAGUUGUAAAGUACUUUCAGCGAGGAGGAAGGCAUUAAGGUUAAUAACCUUGGUGAUUGACGUUACUCGCAGAAGAAGCACCGGCUAACUCCGUGCCAGCAGCCGCGGUAAU
This 197-nucleotide ribosomal RNA is filed under the name uncultured Kluyvera sp. RNAcentral's name for it is "partial 16S ribosomal RNA". It matches the Rfam family "Bacterial small subunit ribosomal RNA", at positions 335 to 524 of the family's 1533-position model. Lineage: Bacteria; Pseudomonadati; Pseudomonadota; Gammaproteobacteria; Enterobacterales; Enterobacteriaceae. The record is from RNAcentral.